GAGUUACGAUUUGAUGCAAGGUUAAGCAGUAAAUGUGGAGCCGUAGCGAAAGCGAGUCUGAAUAGGGCGUUUAGUAUUUGGUCGUAGACCCGAAACCAGGUGAUCUACCCUUGGUCAGGUUGAAGUUCAGGUAACACUGAAUGGAGGACCGAACCGACUUACGUUGAAAAGUGAGCGGAUGAACUGAGGGUAGCGGAGAAAUUCCAAUCGAACCUGGAGAUAGCUGGUUCUCUCCGAAAUAGCUUUAGGGCUAGCCUCAAGUGAUGAUUAUUGGAGGUAGAGCACUGUUUGGACGAGGGGCCCCUCUCGGGUUACCGAAUUCAGACAAACUCCGAAUGCCAAUUAAUUUAACUUGGGAGUCAGAACAUGGGUGAUAAGGUCCGUGUUCGAAAGGGAAACAGCCCAGACCACCAGCUAAGGUCCCAAAAUAUAUGUUAAGUGGAAAAGGAUGUGGCGUUGCCCAGACAACUAGGAUGUUGGCUUAGAAGCAGCCAUCAUUUAAAGAGUGCGUAAUAGCUCACUAGUCGAGUGACACUGCGCCGAAAAUGUACCGGGGCUAAACAUAUUACCGAAGCUGUGGAUUGUCCUUUGGACAAUGGUAGGAGAGCGUUCUAAGG
RNAcentral lists this ribosomal RNA (617 nucleotides) under Staphylococcus aureus. RNAcentral describes it as "partial 23S ribosomal RNA". It matches the Rfam family "Bacterial large subunit ribosomal RNA", at positions 625 to 1246 of the family's 2925-position model. The record is from RNAcentral. Lineage: Bacteria; Bacillati; Bacillota; Bacilli; Caryophanales; Staphylococcaceae.